UUGGCGAUAGGAAUUGGUAGU
Molecule: non-coding RNA, 21 nt
Filed under: Caenorhabditis elegans
Lineage: Eukaryota; Metazoa; Nematoda; Chromadorea; Rhabditida; Rhabditidae
Source: RNAcentral